GAUGAAGAACGUAGCGAAAUGCGAUAAGUAAUGCGAAUUGCAGAAUUCAGUGAAUCAUCGAAUCUUUGAACGCACAUUGCGCCCUUUGGUAUUCCGAAGGGCAUGCCUGUUCGAGCGUCAUUACACCCCUCAAACCCUUCGGUUUGAUGUUGGGCGAGGCCUGAUCAAAGGGCCCGCCUUAAAAUCAGUGACGGUGAACUUCUCCACCUCGGGCGUACAAAUAUCGCGAUGUAGGGGAGGGUGAGCCGGUUAUUAUUUGAUUGUUCAAUCAAUCAAAUUCUCAAUGUUGACCUCGGAUCAGGUAGGGAUACCCGCUGAACUUAAGCAUAUCAAUAAGCGGAGGA
RNAcentral lists this unclassified non-coding RNA (344 nucleotides) under soil metagenome. RNAcentral's name for it is "partial contains 5.8S ribosomal RNA, internal transcribed spacer 2, and large subunit ribosomal RNA". The stretch from base 1 to 120 matches the Rfam family "5.8S ribosomal RNA", at positions 35 to 154 of the family's 154-position model. The record is from RNAcentral.